UUCUAAGUUUCGAUAUACAUUGCUUUAUGGAUGUACGUGAUUACAGGCGCAAAUAUCACGUUCGGGUAGCUGCUGGAGACUGUUAUCGAAUUUCUGAAGUUUUAUUUUUUCUGCUUAAAUAAAAUUGGAAUAACUCAGUGGCUAGUACGGAGCAUAUACUGUUUUGAAUCGGUUAUUUUAUAAUUAAAUUUUUGAAAAACAAACACUCUUCAUUAUACACCGACUCAUUUGUAUCGAUAUAAAUUAUUCGUUGACAAAACACGUUAUCGUUAUUAUUUAUAUACACGCUGUAAAUCUACUAAUGUAUUAAUUUAGUUUUCUUCCGUUUUAGUACAACUCAGUCAAAUAGUACAUACAACUCUGUAUAUCAAGAUCGUAAAAUAUGAAUUUUCAUUUACUACACAAAUUCAUAUAUGCAAACAAAAAUAUACACGAUCUCUAAAUCUUAGACUCUCUGGAUCAUAUAUAUGCGAUAUUUUUUUUGGAUAUGGAAACGAAUAAAAUCAGACUGAUUUUGAUUUCUUAUCAUAUAUGAACAGGGAAUCGUUAUUUUCCAUUUAUUAGCUACUGUGGGUGUGUUGUGUUUUUGGUGGAUUAUGGUAGAGUCUAAAGGAGGCCAUAAGUAUAUUUUCUAAUCUAUAAUUGAAAAGAAAAUCAUGUACUUAAUUUAUUUCUUGUAUUUUAAAUAAUCUGGAUCGAUUGGUUGUGAAUCUUGUGAUCUAUCAAGUGUUUUUAGUUUUGUUUUUAUUUAUAAUCAUAAAAAUUGUCAUUUAGUUUUAUUUAGAUUCUGAAUCGGAUUAUAUCUUUGUUUAUUUUCCUAUAGAAUUAUGUUGUAUAUUUUUAAUAGUUGCAUAAAUUUAUGCUAUAGAAUUUUAGUUGUAGUUUUGUGGAUUUAAUUAUUUAUUUGUAAAUUUUUUAAGCUAAUAUAUAAAUCAUCUAUGUUUUCUACUUUCUAGACCCUAAAUAAAACAAAGGAGAUAAAAGUUUGUGGCUUUAACAAAUUUUUCUAAAGCAUUAUUGGAAGAAAUUUAAGAUUUCAAAAGAACUCUUGGUGCAGAAAUCUUCUACAACAUUUUAAAAGGAUGUAGGAGCAAUGUUUUCUAAAGCAAAAAAAUGUUAAUGUAGGAAUAUAUUUUUUUUGUCUUCAUUUAAUUUUUAUAUCUACGUUAAAUACAAUUUUAUUAAAAAUUAUACAUGCUAAAAUCUACUGUAAAAUUUAUACUGUUAUAUUUUUAAUUAUUUAUAUUUUGCAUUUGAAAAUGUAAUAUUUUAGUUGAUAUAUUUUAGCUCAAAACAAAAAAACAUAAACUAAAACUUUAAAAUAUAAAUGGUAGAACUUUAUUUAAAAGAAAAUAAAACUAAAAGCAAAAUAGAAAUAGAAAUAAAAAUAAUUAUUUAUCUUUUAUUAAUAUGUAUGAAAAUUUAAAAUAUUGAUUUUUAAACUACAUAGGGAGUAUUUGAAUAGUUACAAUUGUGUACUAUAUCGAACAAAAUAAAAAAUCAUCGAUGCACAAAAAAGAACAAAAUAAAAUAUAUAGUACUUUACCAAUUUGGGCUUAUCUGGAUGUCAAUUAGUUGAGUUCAUGUCGUCUUGAUGAAGCUUUUUUUUUUCUUUUAAAUUAACAACUUUAGAGUUGCAACUUUAACAACAGCUAAAAACGUUAAGGUUGCAAGACUGAUCAUUGAUGCAUACACGUCCCAGUAAACAACAAAUUUGGAUUUUAAGUGUUGGUAUGAAUAUCAUGAUUUACCGAGACCUAUUUUCACAACCUAUAAUGAUAUGUCGCUCUCAAUACACGUUUUCAAGCAUAAUUAUUUCUAUAAAUUAUGAUGAUGGAUAUCAUUAUUAACCUUGGGGCCGAAUGUCCUAUUGUCCAUACCUUUUAGUAACCAUAAAAGGAAAUAAAACCAAAUCUCAAUUAAUAUAAAGUGUACGUUGAAUCAAAAUAUAGACUCUAAAACUUCGUAAGUUCCACAUGUUAAAGAUUCGUCAUGUAGACAUUAGCAUGUGGUCGAACUUGUGAUUUCUAUAAAAACUCUCAACUAUUUUUAAUUGUUGCGAAUGUUUAACAUUUACACCAAAAAAAAAAAAAAAAGUGUUCAGCACACUAUUUUUACAGUUGUGAAAAAACCAACAACAAUAAACUCAUUUCUUUACAUUUUUACCAAAAAAAAAAAAAACAAUAAACUCAUUCACUUUUGAAAUAUCCAUUCCUAGAUCCUAGAUUCUGGAUCUUGAAAAAGUAAACUUCGAAGUUCGAACACAUGAAAAAUGGAGAUUAGAGUCUCGCCGGACUCCGGAAGCGUAAGAGGACAACGAUAUAAAAGUUAAAAUAAAAAUGAGUACUGUACAACAUUGUGAGUACCCUACACGAACAUCUUGCACUUACUUUAAUCAUAGCAUCUACAAAUAUCUUUGAAUAUAAGAUUUGUACACAUACACAGUGCCGGUCCUAGGAUUAUAUAGGCCGGAAGCAAAUUAAUUUUUUGGGCCUGUAAAUUGGCUCAUUUAAAAGAAAUAAGGAGAUAAAAAUAAUUAAGUGUUGAGGAAGAAUCGAAGACAUAACCUUUCCCGUGUGUGGCAGCAACUUUGACCAACUAACCUAGUGGACAAUCCUAGAAAAUGUGGCUGAAUAUUUAUUAAUUAUUGGGCGGCCGGAAGCGUAUGCUUCCUUGGCUUACCUUCAAGGCCGGCUCUGCACAUACAUAAUAAGUAGUUUAUGCAUCAAAAUCAUAGCAGCAAGCUUAUUAAAUGGUUAAUUACAAAAUCCAUUUGGUGGUGGGUAAGUGAGAAAGAUUAAGGUAGUUAAGCUUUGUUAAUAACGAUCAACAAAGCAUUUUAUAUGAGAUAUGAUUAGUAAACUAAUUAAAUAUCAAGUGGUUUCCGUCACUUGAUUAAAACCAAUGGUCGAUUCCUUUGUGAUGCAUUAAUAAAAUAAUGGUGAACAAAACUGAUCCAGAAGAUGUUUACAUUCAAACAGACAAUUAAUUAAAGGAGAUCUGAUCUGAAAACCAUGUAAUUAAAAGUUUUGAGCAUAUUGGAAGUUCAGAACAGUCAAAAUGUAAUUUACAUAGUAAUAUUUUUGUUUCUAAAAGAGUAUCAUUUUCACAUAUUUUUUGUUACACAAAAAUUGUUAUUUUAGAAUUUUUAUGCAAUUUUCAAUUUAAUGUUAAUUAUAAAUACAUUGAUUUAAGAAAUAAUUUUAUUUAUCUUAAAUAUUAUUGUACGAAUAGAUGUAAUUAAUAAAAACCUAAAUGUAUUUAAAUCAUUUUUUUAAUAUGUAUAAAAAAAUUAAAAUAACAAAUUUUUGAAACGGAAAUAUAUAUAUUUUUAUAUUAAAUAUCAUUUUAAAAUUUAAAUUUUACUUUAUUAUAAAUCUCGUUAUAUAUUUCCAGUGCAUAUAUUUGAUAAAUUUCAAUUUUAUUCUUAUUAUUUUAAUUUAUUAAUUAGCAAAAGUAAAAGUAAAACAAAAAAAAUAAUAUUUUUUUAAUAUGCGUGAAAAUCUUUCACACUUUUUCUAAAACAAAAGGACUAUAUAGUUUGGUAAUAAUUUGGUAAUGUGCAUUACGUUUCUCAAGACCACUUAAUCGGUUAAAAGAAAAAAAAAAGUAAGUUCAGUUUUUGAGACAGGCUGGUAUUUAUUUCCGACUUGAUUUUGUUGUUGUUUUUAUAAAAAAAAAUUGAUUUUGUCAAGAACAAUCAAAACUGAAAAGAAGUCAUGAUUUUGUCAGAACGUAUUGUUUUUGAAAACUAACUGGAUACAUAGUAGUUGAGUGAAGUUUCUCAAAAUCGUGAUAUAAAUUAAAUCUAUUAUAUCAGAAUUUCUGACAUCUUAUAAUACUCAUUCUAAAUUUAAAAAAACGAUUGUGACAAGUGUGCAGAGAUAUAAAAUUGUAAAUGAUGCGAAUGAAUAACCAGCAUGUAUAUAUAAAUAUCAGUAAUAUAAAACGUCCGAGAAAAGACGUGUGGAGUGUGAACUUAGAAUUAGUCUUAGAUGGACAUUUGAACCAAGUGACUUUAAUGCUUUUGUUGAUGAAAUUGAUUACGCAGAAUAUGAGAGGAAUAUAGACAUGAGUUUUGUAAAUUGACAAAGUAAUAUCAAUUUACUAGGUACAUAAACUAUUAUCCUGACCACUGAAAAGUGUGGUAUUUAAGAUUACUGAACAGUAAUGUGAAAACGAAGAACGUAAUAACAUUCCUUUCCAACAUGGAAAAAGACAGUGCUUUGUGGUGGUACCAAGUGUUUUUCUUUAUAAGCGUAAAUUAAAUAAGUUUUUUUUUUUUAUCUCAACAGGUUAAUCUCACUGUAGAUAAAUAUCUGGUUGUCAAAAAAUGCUUUAGACCAUAUUUCUGGUAUUAUAGGAUGCACGUUUUUUUUUUCUAAAAAUAAUGCAAGUUCCAGGCCAGAAAGAAGAAUCAAUACUAUUAAAACAGAAGGCCCUUUUUUGAGGUAACCUUCUGUUUCAACAAUAUUUACAGAACUAUACCACUGCUUUAUUUAAAACCUAUACUUUUAAUUAUAUAGAAAUAUUCAACUAAAUAUCUUUUAAUCUAAAAAUUAUACCGGAGGAUGCCUUAUAUAUAUAUUAAUAUUAUAUCAGAAUUUGCAGGUGUACUAACAAGUGCAUCUUUUUUUUAUUUAGUUUCUUUUCUUUUACUUUCAACGUAGUGAAUAUAGUUGGAGGAAUUAGAUUUCUUUCCAGUUUUUAGAUUCGAUGAAGGAGCUUUGUUGAUUCCCAAAACUUUAAAAAAAUUCUCAUGAGUUCUUCCAUUCUUUUUUUUCGUCCAUUGUUCUACCAAUUAGUUAAAAAAGAGUCUCUUUGCUCUCUUAGCAACAAGAUUGAGAAAUAGGGAAACUUUGCUCUUCACCUUCUUCUCUUUUCUCUCUGUGACUUCUUUUUGCUGAUUCAUCUUUCUUUUUCUCACUGAUUAAGCUCUCAAGUCUCAGGUCUGUGUAUGCUCUUUCUUCUAGACACAUUUUUUGGGUUUCCACCUGAUUUACAUUGCUAGGAAAACAAAUGCAGACAUAUAAAAGUUUAAGAGCAAUUCUAUCUGAGUCAAUCACCGGCAGACGAACUCGUGUUGCCUAGCAUAUCAAAAGCUAUUCGAUCUAUUCUAUGUUCCAAUCAGCGUUGUUAUUCAGUUGUUAUUUCCUUGUGUGGUUUACGGUGUUCUUUCACUGUUAAGGUUUGUCUUGAUUUAUGUCCUGUCAUAGAAAGUUUUUUGUUGUGAAUUUCGUGUAAGGAGCUUUUGAAAGAAACAAUGCCCAAACAUAAGGCUGUAUUGAUCUGGUAUUUUAUUUCCUCAGAGGAGUGUUCGUCUCUGAUUGAUGGAGUUGAUGUGUUUGUAAAUUUUAAGGUGAGAAGUUAGUGCUGGAAAGAAACAUCACUUCCUCUGCAUUGUUUCCUUCUCAAAACAGUUAAGUGUUUCAGGUAAUGCACCAACAAAAGGAAAAUUAGCUCCAGUGAUUCUGCCGAGAUUUAUGUCAAUACUUAAACAUAUUUUGUAUAUAUAUGUCGAAUAAUCCUCAUCAUUAAUAUUUUUAAAUCGAUGAUUCUGUACAGCUAUUGUAAUAUUUAUUGUUAAAAAAAUAUAUUGAGAUCUUAAGAGAUUUAGAGUUUGUGAUCAACACAAAAAUUUAAAACGUUACAUAACUAACAAAUAUAAUAUCACUAUCAACUACCACUAUAUAGUAUAUUCUAAACAUGUACAAAUAAGAGUGUUUCUAAUACAUAGAUAAGUGUACUACGCAUAUAAUUUUCCUAACUAAGAGGAAUGUAUUGAAUUAAAGGUUUUAGAAGAUUUUAGAGUAUUUUAAUUUUGGUUGGAUUUAGGUGAAAUUUGAAAUUAUUUGAGUGAUUUUAGUAAAACUUAAAAAUAAAAAUGAAACCAAUAGGUGAUUUGGUAUGAUAUUUUCUAAAAAUUUCAAAGUUGUUUAAGUGAUUUGAAAUGAUAAUAUAUAUUUUUAAGCUUGGACAUUCGGGGUCCCAAUCGGAUUUCGGAUUUCGGCUUUGUCUAAUCGGGUUUUGGUUAUUUAGGUUUAUCAAAAUCAGUCAUAUUUGGGUUCUAUCGGGUUCAGGUCGAGAUUAGUAAAUCAUCAGAGAACCGGUAUAACCCGAUGUAAUUUUGGGUUCGGGUCCCAAUCGGUUCUUUAGUUUAAAAGUAUCUGAUUUAUACCUAAUUUGUAGUCAAAACAUAAGUAAAGUCAGUUCUUUGAUUUUAGAGUAUUUGAUUUGUACUUAUUUUAUGACCGAAACAUAAGUAAAAUCGAUUCAAAAAUAAAGAAAGAAACAUCAAACGUGACCACUUAAAAUCAAAUAAAAUGUAAACAUAGUAAUUAAUCGAAAGAUAACCAAAUAACUAAAAGAAUAAACGACAACAAAGUUCUCAUGAAACGAAAAACAUUAUUCAAUGAAAACAAAACCAAAAUAUAAAAAUUUCAAGCCUCAACCGCCACCUUCAACCAUCAAACUUCAUGCAAUAGAUAAUUAUCUUAGAAGUUAUUAAGAAUUGAAACUAAUUUGAAAAAUAAUCAAUAUAAUUUGAAAAACCAACAACUAAUUUGUUUGUUUUUUGAAGUAUAUACAAAAUUAAAAAUAAUAAAAACAUAUUAGGAAUUUUAAAAAUAAAUUAAUUCUCAAAUAUAAAUAUUAAAACUCAAAGGUUGAAAAAAAAAGGUUAAUCAUGAAUCAAAAUCAGUUUUAAAAGAUUAGCCCCCGUUGUAUAAUUGAAGUACUUGAAAUUUAACGGGUUUCUAACAUCAUUAUAUCGAACAAACUGAAAACCAAAAUAUUCAAUCACCCUAACCAAACUCAAUUUCAUAAAUAACUUAGCAGUUUCUAUAUCUUAAACCGAAAAAAUGAAAACAUUAAACCGAACUAAAAUAAAAAACCAGCAAAUAAUAAAAUGGACCAAACCAAACGGCCACGUUUAACAUAUUAGUUAAUAUAUAGACGGGUUAAUAAAUUUGUUACCAAAAAAUAAUCCCGCGCUUUCAAAGCGCGGGUCAAAAUCUAGUAUUGGCUUAAAACUCAAACUCCUUAUAGUUAACACUAAAAGAAAUGUUAGACCACUAUUCAAAUUACCUUUAUUUUUUGUUUGUAGUUUGUGAGAUACGUAUAUUUGUAAAUAAGAAGGAAUAAAUGGACAAAAUUAUGGUUAUAGCUGAUAAAAAUUAUAACUGAAAGAAAAAAAAUUUGGACAAAUAAAUGAAAGAAUUUUCAGUUGAAUAUCGAUGGAAAAGACAAGACCAUAUAAAAAUAUCAUUUUUAAAUUAACAACUAUUUUGUUAUCAAAUAGACGUGUCAUAUUCUAGCUGAGAAAUAGUAUUCAGUUCCAAGCAUUGGAUCAGAUAGGCUUUAAGGAUUAAAGAUGUUUAAGAAGGCCCAGGCUUGUAGCCUGACGAAGACAGUGGCUUGAUGAAGACAAAUUAACAUUGCUUUAACUAGUCCCGGGCAUUGAUCGGUUCGGUUUAUUCGGUUUUAGGGUUAUUCUGGUUAGGAUGUUUAGGAACCGUUUAGGAACUGAAAAUUUUUCUGAUCUGUUAGGAUAAUGUUGGUUUUGGAUCGGGUUUCUAUUUUUUUUAUAAAAUCCGAAAUAGAAUCGUAUUACAAAUAAUUCGGGUUUGGUUUGGGUUUAAAGCCCAAAAAGCCGAAAAAUCCUAAAAACCCGAGUUAAACCCGAAAAAACCCGAAAAAAUAUUCUGGUUAUUUAGAUAGUUCGGAUUUUAGAUACUUUUUAUUUAUAAAUUAUUUAUUAUAUAUAUUAAAACUAAAAAUAAUUAAUAUUUUUAAUAUAUUCAAAAUAUUCGGGUACCCGUUCGAUUUUCGGUUCGGUCCCGGUUCGGUUUGGAUUUUUAGGAUUUAGAAAUAUAGGAACCAUUUGGGUUAGGUCUGGGCAUUUUACCCGGACCCGAAGACCCGACCCGAAACCGAUCCGAAAAAACCCGGUUCGGGUAGGAACCGACCCGAUCAAAUUACCCUAUCGGGUCUUGUUGUAGAGGACCCGCGGGUCUUGGACCCGACCCGACCCGAACCCGAAACCCGAUGGGUACCCGAAUUAAUAAUGUAAAUUAAAUAAAAUGCAUCAAGGGGGAAUCGAAGACGGGUUAUUUGUCUAGAGAAUAUGGGGGUCAACCACUAGGAGACAACGAAUUGUUGUUGUAUUUUGCAUAGUUUAGUAUAUAUA
Long non-coding RNA from Brassica rapa (field mustard), 8188 nucleotides. RefSeq lists it as uncharacterized. The record is from RefSeq and is a predicted model, not a curated record. NCBI's taxonomy places the organism in Eukaryota, Viridiplantae, Streptophyta, Magnoliopsida, Brassicales, Brassicaceae.